GGGUUGUGAGGUUAAGCGACUAAGCGUACACGGUGGAUGCCCUGGCAGUCAGAGGCGAUGAAGGACGUGCUAAUCUGCGAUAAGCGUCGGUAAGGUGAUAUGAACCGUUAUAACCGGCGAUUUCCGAAUGGGGAAACCCAGUGUGAUUCGUCACACUAUCAUUAACUGAAUCCAUAGGUUAAUGAGGCGAACCGGGGGAACUGAAACAUCUAAGUACCCCGAGGAAAAGAAAUCAACCGAGAUUCCCCCAGUAGCGGCGAGCGAACGGGGAGCAGCCCAGAGCCUGAAUCAGUGUGUGUGUUAGUGGAAGCGUCUGGAAAGGCGUGCGAUACAGGGUGACAGCCCCGUACACAAAAAUGCACAUGCUGUGAGCUCGAUGAGUAGGGCGGGACACGUGGUAUCCUGUCUGAAUAUGGGGGGACCAUCCUCCAAGGCUAAAUACUCCUGACUGACCGAUAGUGAACCAGUACCGUGAGGGAAAGGCGAAAAGAACCCCGGCGAGGGGAGUGAAAAAGAACCUGAAACCGUGUACGUACAAGCAGUGGGAGCACAGAGCAAUCUGUGUGACUGCGUACCUUUUGUAUAAUGGGUCAGCGACUUAUAUUCUGUAGCAAGGUUAACCGAAUAGGGGAGCCGAAGGGAAACCGAGUCUUAACUGGGCGUUAAGUUGCAGGGUAUAGACCCGAAACCCGGUGAUCUAGCCAUGGGCAGGUUGAAGGUUGGGUAACACUAACUGGAGGACCGAACCGACUAAUGUUGAAAAAUUAGCGGAUGACUUGUGGCUGGGGGUGAAAGGCCAAUCAAACCGGGAGAUAGCUGGUUCUCCCCGAAAGCUAUUUAGGUAGCGCCUCGUGAAUUCAUCUCCGGGGGUAGAGCACUGUUUCGGCAAGGGGGUCAUCCCGACUUACCAACCCGAUGCAAACUGCGAAUACCGGAGAAUGUUAUCACGGGAGACACACGGCGGGUGCUAACGUCCGUCGUGAAGAGGGAAACAACCCAGACCGCCAGCUAAGGUCCCAAAGUCAUGGUUAAGUGGGAAACGAUGUGGGAAGGCCCAGACAGCCAGGAUGUUGGCUUAGAAGCAGCCAUCAUUUAAAGAAAGCGUAAUAGCUCACUGGUCGAGUCGGCCUGCGCGGAAGAUGUAACGGGGCUAAACCAUGCACCGAAGCUGCGGCAGCGACGCUUAUGCGUUGUUGGGUAGGGGAGCGUUCUGUAAGCCUGCGAAGGUGUGCUGUGAGGCAUGCUGGAGGUAUCAGAAGUGCGAAUGCUGACAUAAGUAACGAUAAAGCGGGUGAAAAGCCCGCUCGCCGGAAGACCAAGGGUUCCUGUCCAACGUUAAUCGGGGCAGGGUGAGUCGACCCCUAAGGCGAGGCCGAAAGGCGUAGUCGAUGGGAAACAGGUUAAUAUUCCUGUACUUGGUGUUACUGCGAAGGGGGGACGGAGAAGGCUAUGUUGGCCGGGCGACGGUUGUCCCGGUUUAAGCGUGUAGGCUGGUUUUCCAGGCAAAUCCGGAAAAUCAAGGCUGAGGCGUGAUGACGAGGCACUACGGUGCUGAAGCAACAAAUGCCCUGCUUCCAGGAAAAGCCUCUAAGCAUCAGGUAACAUCAAAUCGUACCCCAAACCGACACAGGUGGUCAGGUAGAGAAUACCAAGGCGCUUGAGAGAACUCGGGUGAAGGAACUAGGCAAAAUGGUGCCGUAACUUCGGGAGAAGGCACGCUGAUAUGUAGGUGAAGUCCCUCGCGGAUGGAGCUGAAAUCAGUCGAAGAUACCAGCUGGCUGCAACUGUUUAUUAAAAACACAGCACUGUGCAAACACGAAAGUGGACGUAUACGGUGUGACGCCUGCCCGGUGCCGGAAGGUUAAUUGAUGGGGUCAGCGCAAGCGAAGCUCUUGAUCGAAGCCCCGGUAAACGGCGGCCGUAACUAUAACGGUCCUAAGGUAGCGAAAUUCCUUGUCGGGUAAGUUCCGACCUGCACGAAUGGCGUAAUGAUGGCCAGGCUGUCUCCACCCGAGACUCAGUGAAAUUGAACUCGCUGUGAAGAUGCAGUGUACCCGCGGCAAGACGGAAAGACCCCGUGAACCUUUACUAUAGCUUGACACUGAACAUUGAGCCUUGAUGUGUAGGAUAGGUGGGAGGCUUGGAAGUGUGGACGCCAGUCUGCAUGGAGCCGACCUUGAAAUACCACCCUUUAAUGUUUGAUGUUCUAACGUUGACCCGUAAUCCGGGUUGCGGACAGUGUCUGGUGGGUAGUUUGACUGGGGCGGUCUCCUCCUAAAGAGUAACGGAGGAGCACGAAGGUUGGCUAAUCCUGGUCGGACAUCAGGAGGUUAGUGCAAUGGCAUAAGCCAGCUUGACUGCGAGCGUGACGGCGCGAGCAGGUGCGAAAGCAGGUCAUAGUGAUCCGGUGGUUCUGAAUGGAAGGGCCAUCGCUCAACGGAUAAAAGGUACUCCGGGGAUAACAGGCUGAUACCGCCCAAGAGUUCAUAUCGACGGCGGUGUUUGGCACCUCGAUGUCGGCUCAUCACAUCCUGGGGCUGAAGUAGGUCCCAAGGGUAUGGCUGUUCGCCAUUUAAAGUGGUACGCGAGCUGGGUUUAGAACGUCGUGAGACAGUUCGGUCCCUAUCUGCCGUGGGCGCUGGAGAACUGAGGGGGGCUGCUCCUAGUACGAGAGGACCGGAGUGGACGCAUCACUGGUGUUCGGGUUGUCAUGCCAAUGGCACUGCCCGGUAGCUAAAUGCGGAAGAGAUAAGUGCUGAAAGCAUCUAAGCACGAAACUUGCCCCGAGAUGAGUUCUCCCUGACUCCUUGAGAGUCCUGAAGGAACGUUGAAGACGACGACGUUGAUAGGCCGGGUGUGUAAGCGCAGCGAUGCGUUGAGCUAACCGGUACUAAUGAACCGUGAGGCUUAACCUUACAACGCCGAAGGUGUUU
Molecule: ribosomal RNA, 2933 nt
Filed under: Escherichia coli
Lineage: Bacteria; Pseudomonadati; Pseudomonadota; Gammaproteobacteria; Enterobacterales; Enterobacteriaceae
Description: 23S ribosomal RNA
Rfam family: Bacterial large subunit ribosomal RNA
Source: RNAcentral